This 443-nucleotide ribosomal RNA is filed under the name uncultured bacterium. RNAcentral's name for it is "partial 16S ribosomal RNA". It matches the Rfam family "Bacterial small subunit ribosomal RNA", at positions 338 to 795 of the family's 1533-position model. The record is from RNAcentral.
CCUACGGGUGGCAGCAGUGGGGAAUAUUGGGCAAUGGGCGCAAGCCUGACCCAGCAACGCCGCGUGAAGGAAGAAGGCUCUCGGGUUGUAAACUUCUUUUAUCAGGGACGAAGCAAGUGACGGUACCUGAUGAAUAAGCCACGGCUAACUACGGGCCAGCAGCCGCGGUAAUACGUAGGUGGCAAGCGUUACCCGGAUGUACUGGGUGUAAAGGGCGUGUAGGCGGGAAAGCAAGUCAGAUGUGAAAACCAUGGGCUCAACCUGUGGCCUGCAUUUGAAACUGGUUUUCUUGAGUACUGGAGAGGCAGACGGAAUUCGUAGUGUAGCGGUGAAAUGCGUAGAUAUUAGGAGGAACACCAGUGGCGAAGGCGGUCUGCUGGACAGCAACUGACGCUGAGGCGCGAAAGCGUGGGGAGCAAACAGGAUUAGAUACCCCUGUAGUC